Molecule: ribosomal RNA, 467 nt
Filed under: uncultured bacterium
Lineage: Bacteria
Description: partial 16S ribosomal RNA
Rfam family: Bacterial small subunit ribosomal RNA
Source: RNAcentral
GACGAACGCUGGCGGCGUGCUUAACACAUGCAAGUCGAACGGAAAGGCCUCUUUCGGGGGGUACUCGAGUGGCGAACGGGUGAGUAACACGUGAGUAACCUGCCCUUGACUUUGGGAUAACUUCAGGAAACUGGGGCUAAUACCGGAUAGGAGCUCCUGCUGCAUGGUGGGGGUUGGAAAGUUUCGGCGGUUGGGGAUGGACUCGCGGCUUAUCAGCUUGUUGGUGGGGUAGUGGCUUACCAAGGCGUUGACGGGUAGCCGGACUGAGAGGGUGACCGGCCACAUUGGGACUGAGAUACGGCCCAGACGCCGACGGGAGGCAGCAGGGGGGAAUAUUGCACAAUGGGUGGAAGCCUGAUGCAGCAACGCCGUGUGCGGGAUGACGGCCUUCGGGUUGUAAACCGCUUUCGCUCAUGACGAAGCUUUGUGUGACGGUAGUGGGUAAAGAAGCACCGGCUAACUACGUG